CAGAAAGCUUGGCCCCAAGUUGCAGUACCAGCCUUGGAUCAGGAUCAAUCUCAAGAUUGGAAUUCCUAGAGGCCAAGAUCGAAUGGCAAGAUAAAAGAUCUUGAAGGAGAGCGCAAUUUCUUACGUGAGCAAGUCUUGGGGUUGAAGAAGAAAUCAACUCAAUCAAAAGUCCCUACUUUGGAAGAGGAUGUCAGCAUGUCCGAAGAUGACACUUCCCAAAGUCCUGCAGACCUCAGUGAUUCCUCAGACAGUGAUGUUGUCAUCCCAAAAAAGAAGCAACGUAACACACGGAAUCCUGCAUCUCCAGAUGUGGCUGUGCCUGGGCGAGCUCAUA
Long non-coding RNA from Gymnodraco acuticeps, 334 nucleotides. RefSeq lists it as uncharacterized. The transcript is spliced from 3 exons. NCBI's taxonomy places the organism in Eukaryota, Metazoa, Chordata, Actinopteri, Perciformes, Bathydraconidae. The record is from RefSeq and is a predicted model, not a curated record.